AGUGAACGCUGGCGGUAGGCCUAACACAUGCAAGUCGAACGGCAGCACAGAGGAGCUUGCUCCUUGGGUGGCGAGUGGCGGACGGGUGAGGAAUACAUCGGAAUCUACUCUGUCGUGGGGGAUAACGUAGGGAAACUUACGCUAAUACCGCAUACGACCUACGGGUGAAAGCAGGGGACCUUCGGGCCUUGCGCGAUUGAAUGAGCCGAUGUCGGAUUAGCUAGUUGGCGGGGUAAAGGCCCACCAAGGCGACGAUCCGUAGCUGGUCUGAGAGAAUGAUCAGCACCCCUGGAACUGGGCCACGGUCCAGACUCCUACGGGAGGCAGCAGUGGGGAAUCUUGCGCAAUGGGCGGAAGCCUGACGCAGCGACGCCGCGUACGGGAAGAAGGCCUUCGGGUUGUAAACCGUUUUCAGGAGGGACGAAGCCACUCGGGUUAACAGCCCAGAGGGUGACGGUACCUCCAGAAGAAGCCCCGGCUAACUACGUGCCAGCAGCCGCCGUAA
RNAcentral lists this ribosomal RNA (505 nucleotides) under uncultured bacterium. RNAcentral's name for it is "partial 16S ribosomal RNA". It matches the Rfam family "Bacterial small subunit ribosomal RNA", at positions 29 to 523 of the family's 1533-position model. The record is from RNAcentral.